RNAcentral lists this ribosomal RNA (492 nucleotides) under uncultured bacterium. Its description in RNAcentral is "partial 16S ribosomal RNA". It matches the Rfam family "Bacterial small subunit ribosomal RNA", at positions 29 to 507 of the family's 1533-position model. The record is from RNAcentral.
AUUGAACGCUGGCGGCAUGCUUUACACAUGCAAGUCGAACGGUAACAGGCUUCCGGGUUGUGAUGAGUGGCGGACGGGCGAGUAAUGCACAGGAACGUAACCAGAGCUGGGGUUUAAGGCAGCUUAAGGUGUGCUAAGAUCGUAUGUGAUCUGAGCAUGAGAUCGGGGGACCGAGCAGCAAGGUUUGGCCUGGCGCGUUUGAACUGGCGGAUUUCGAGUUUGUUAGUGGGGGGGUGAAGGACCAACCAAGGGGACGAUCGGUAGCUGAUCUGAGAGGACGAUCGGCCACACUGGAGCUGAGACACGGCCCAGACUCCUACGGGAGGCAGCAGUGGGGAAUUUUGGACAAUGGGCGCAAGCCUGAUCCAGCAGGGCCGCGUGCGGGAAGAAGGCGUUCGGGUUGUAAAGCGCUUUUGGCGGGAACGAAACGCUGUCCGCUAAUACCAAGCGUGAGUGACGGUACCUGGAGAAGAAGCACCGGCUAACUACGUG